GACGAACGCUGGCGGCGUGCCUAAUACAUGCAAGUAGAACGCUGAAGCUUGGUGCUUGCACCGAGCGGAUGAGUUGCGAACGGGUGAGUAACGCGUAGGUAACCUGCCUCUUAGCGGGGGAUAACUAUUGGAAACGAUAGCUAAUACCGCAUAAAAGUCGAUAUCGCAUGAUAUUGAUUUGAAAGGUGCAAAUGCAUCACUAAGAGAUGGACCUGCGUUGUAUUAGCUAGUUGGUGAGGUAACGGCUCACCAAGGCAACGAUACAUAGCCGACCUGAGAGGGUGAUCGGCCACACUGGGACUGAGACACGGCCCAGACUCCUACGGGAGGCAGCAGUAGGGAAUCUUCGGCAAUGGACGGAAGUCUGACCGAGCAACGCCGCGUGAGUGAAGAAGGUUUUCGGAUCGUAAAGCUCUGUUGUAAGAGAAGAACGAGUGUGAGAGUGGAAAGUUCACACUGUGACGGUAACUUACCAGAAAGGGACGGCUAACCACGUGCCAGCAGCCGCGGUAAUACGUAGGUCCCGAGCGUUAUCCGGAUUUAUUGGGCGUAAAGCGAGCGCAGGCGGUUAGAUAAGUCUGAAGUUAAAGGCUGUGGCUUAACCAUAGUACGCUUUGGAAACUGUUUAACUUGAGUGCAGAAGGGGAGAGUGGAAUUCCAUGUGUAGCGGUGAAAUGCGUAGAUAUAUGGAGGAACACCGGUGGCGAAAGCGGCUCUCUGGUCUGUAACUGACGCUGAGGCUCGAAAGCGUGGGGAGCAAACAGG
Molecule: ribosomal RNA, 765 nt
Filed under: uncultured Streptococcus sp.
Lineage: Bacteria; Bacillati; Bacillota; Bacilli; Lactobacillales; Streptococcaceae
Description: bacterial SSU rRNA
Rfam family: Bacterial small subunit ribosomal RNA
Source: RNAcentral